UCACAUCAAGUUUUUACAGGACAGACUUUAAGGAUGAUGGAGAUGUCUUUAAUAACACUGUAAGGUUCUUACCAUAGAGUUGGAGGCAGGUUGAACCAGUGAGAGCUCCGUCAGGGUAGGAGUUAAACAAACAGUGAUAGCAUCCUUCAUCUUCCUCCGUCACCCUCCUGAUAACUAUGGAGCUGUUCUGCAGUCCAGCAUAUUUAAACUCCACUUUAUCUCUAAAGUCAGGAUUCACUUUCUCACCAAAGUAUUUGGUGUAAGUAGCGACAUUCUGCUCCUUGUCAGGUAAAAUUUUCUGCCAUGUGACUUGAACAACAUCUUUAGGUUGCAUCAGCUGACAGUUUAAAAGAGCGUCUUCUCCCACUGCUGCCAUCACAGUCUGCUGAGUCUCUAUCACAGCUGCUAGACCUGCAGGGAGGACAGUUCAUACAGUCCAUGAAACUCCACAGAUUCACUUUACUGGACAAAACAUGUCUUAUAUGGGGUUUGAAUCAGAAAACUGGAUUUAUACUAGGGCUGUGCAUCUUCACUGGUCUCCCGAUUCGAUUCGAUUACGAUUAUCCUGUUAACGAUUCGAUUCGAUUCGAUUCCACGAUGUAUCACGAUGCACUGCAUUCUUAAUUUCCUAUAUUACUGAGCAUGGUUACUUUUUUAAUCAAUUAAUACAAGCAGUCAGAUAAAUAUGAACUCCCUUCUUUAUUAGAAAGUGCUUCAGGAUUACCGGUAAGUAACAUCGAUGUCUUAAUAAACCAAAAUAAAUGAAUUAAAUUAAAUAAAACAAAUACUUCUGCAGGCCAGCUGCAACCUUUAGCAACUGUCCUGUACUCAAAAAAGGACACUGAAUGUCUUGAAUGUGGCAAGCAUCAGAAAUAUGACUUGAGUCUGAACAAAGCAAGCAACAGCAGUAUUUCUAACAGUAAAUACUAAAAUAGCAUCAAUAAAGCACAGUGUACUUCUUCUUCAAAAACAUAAAUAACAUAAACACAAAUAACAUAAAUGUCAAUGUAUGAACAGCAAAUUAGGCUUUAAACCAAAAUAAAUUGUAGAAGCCUAGUAGCCAACUACCUAUAAUCUUUGUGUGAAAAUGGUCAUCCUCCCUAAACCACACAUAAAUCUGUCUUCUACUGUAAAACAGGGUACUUCCUGAAUGUGGCAAACAUCACAAUGUGUCUGAACACAACAAACCACAGGUAGCAAUGAACUACUAG
This is a long non-coding RNA of Epinephelus fuscoguttatus (brown-marbled grouper), 1211 nucleotides long. RefSeq lists it as uncharacterized. The transcript is spliced from 3 exons. Lineage: Eukaryota; Metazoa; Chordata; Actinopteri; Perciformes; Serranidae. The record is from RefSeq and is a predicted model, not a curated record.